This is a long non-coding RNA of Piliocolobus tephrosceles (Ugandan red Colobus), 1589 nucleotides long. RefSeq lists it as uncharacterized. The transcript is spliced from 3 exons. Lineage: Eukaryota; Metazoa; Chordata; Mammalia; Primates; Cercopithecidae. The record is from RefSeq and is a predicted model, not a curated record.
CCCAGCCGCAGCGCGGCCAGGGGCGGGGCCCGGCGGCCGGGGCGGAGCCCGCGGCGCAGCCUCGCCCCCGUCCCCGUCGCCUAGGCGACCGGCCGCGGGCGCUCCCGAGAGGCUCUGCGCGGCUCCGAAGCUUCUGCCGGCGCGGAAAUAAACAAGCACCGCGACUGCCCAACAGCGCCGAACCCUGCGCGCCCAGUCAAACCCAGGCCUUACGUACCGAGCAUGCGCAGUUCCCGCCCGAGCUGGGAGCAGAGUCAACCCGAGACUCCCACGUUCAGAAUUCGGCGGAGAUGCGAUGGUAGAGGGGCCAGAGCUACCUCCAAGCUUUACCCUGAGGCGAGGAGUGAAGGGGAGAGAUGCCCAAGGCCCAAGAGGGGCCGCGAGGGCCUUUGCCCGAUGCCACCCAGUCUGUCAGCACUUCUAGAGCUUUGGUUUUAUCUUGUAUUAGCAUGUGUAGCUUUAAGGGGACGGGCACCUACAGGCUUCUGCCUGAAGUUGUGUAAACGCAACAAAACGAAGCUUUCGAGUGUUAGGACAUUGAUAGGAGGGUGACAGCCCCUUCCGGCAGCGCGCCAGAGGGGCGAGCCAGAGUCCGCCACACACCACGGAAGUUGGGUCCAAGCCCGCUGAUGUCUCCAGGGUCCCGCCCACAUUUCUUCUGGAUCCGCCCCUUUCAGUGCCGAACUGCAGUGGAGCUCUUCCCACGCCCUGUCAGCCACUGGUGAAUUGAAAACCUGGAGAGCGGAACCCCAACCGGCAGCCGGAAGGCCCAGGGACACCUCAUAGCAACAGCCGGUUAGGGGCAUCUAGUGGGAAGCUGGGAUUCAUUCUAGCCAACCACGUCAUGUCUCUGCACCCCAUGGUACCAUUCACGACCAAUAAGAGAGCCCUCCCAUACCACGUGACUUUCCUCCUUCAACCAAUCGGGGAAAAAUCUGUCGCUGGAUCCGCAAGCACACCUCCCAGUGCCUUGCCAGGCGGGACGGUUCGCGCACGCUUUGCCAACCAAUUGUAGGUCCCUAGAUGUUGAGAAGCUCUGGACUGAAGCUGUCACAAAAAUAAGUGUAUUCCAGUGAUUGAUUUUCAUGCACUCGGAAGCACUUUGCCGAAGGCUGGAGCGACUGUUGACAUGCGCACCUACACUGUUCUUCUAUGAAUCUUUUUUUUUUCAAGUUAUUGUCUUUGUUGGAUCGUUUCUAGAAUGUUCUCACAUGCCAUGGGGAUUUGAAGCUUUAAAACUUUACAAUGUUUGAACUCUAAGAGCUAGUUCUUAGUCAUCAGUUGGUUUCAUUCAAGUUAACACCAAGAGUAGACGCUCUUUUCCUUCAUUCAAAGAAAAAAUAAGAUCAAGAAUAACUACAGAAAAGGACUAUCUGUAAUGGAAUGUGGGGCAGGUUAUGCAAAAAGAGGAAUAUUGGUGUUUGGAAGAGAUUUAAUGGAAGAGGAGGCUCAGGAGGGUGCUAAGGAGAGAGGACUGUUAGGACUGUUGGACGUUAACCCACCUGUAGCCCCUUAACAGUAUUUCCUCACAUAUUUAAUUCAGGCAGCUUCCAUGACCUCAAAGCAAACAAGGAGGACUUCUGCAUGAG